UAAUCGCAGAUCAGAAUGCUGCGGUGAAUACGUUCCCGGGUCUUGUACACACCGCCCGUCACACCAUGGGAGUCGGAAAUGCCCGAAGCCGGUGACCCAACCAAUAGGAGGGAGCCGUCGAAGGCAGGUCUGAUAACUGGGGUGAAGUCGUAACAAGGUAGC
Molecule: ribosomal RNA, 162 nt
Filed under: uncultured bacterium
Lineage: Bacteria
Description: partial 16S ribosomal RNA
Rfam family: Bacterial small subunit ribosomal RNA
Source: RNAcentral